This 320-nucleotide long non-coding RNA is filed under the name Anas platyrhynchos platyrhynchos (common mallard). Its description in RNAcentral is "lncRNA (ENSAPLG00000019940.1)". Lineage: Eukaryota; Metazoa; Chordata; Aves; Anseriformes; Anatidae. The record is from RNAcentral.
UUCAAAAAUAACUUUGGAUUCUCUGACCUGCUUCACUAAUGCAUGCUGCUGUAAAACCAGGAUGAAGACAAACAGCAUUCUGAACCACAUUCAGAGGCAUUUCUGACUAAGCUUGGUUAGGAGUUCAAGACAAGCCUGUGAAAGACCGCGAGAUGGUUUCUAACAGUAUCACUGGCCUAAGUUGACAUGGUGUCAUUUCACUGCAAGUAUUGAGGUUUAGAAAAGUUCUUCAAGAUUUGACCCGAGUGAGUGUAACACAGAGAUGAUUAUUCUCAAGUUUUGAAAACAGUCUUGACUGAGGAAAAUUUCAGUUUCCUCAC